UACGAAGGGUGCAAGCGUUACUCGGAAUUACUGGGCGUAAAGCGUGCGUAGGUGGUUUGUUAAGUCUGAUGUGAAAUCCCCGGGCUCAACCUGGGAAUGGCAUUGGAUACUGGCUCGCUAGAGUGCGGUAGAGGGUGGUGGAAUUCCCGGUGUAGCAGUGAAAUGCGUAGAGAUCGGGAGGAACAUCUGUGGCGAAGGCGGCGACCUGGACAAGUACUGACACUCAACUACGGAAGCGUGGGGAGCAAACAGG
Molecule: ribosomal RNA, 253 nt
Filed under: uncultured bacterium
Lineage: Bacteria
Description: partial 16S ribosomal RNA
Rfam family: Bacterial small subunit ribosomal RNA
Source: RNAcentral